AUGAACGAGGAGCUGGGCCAAGUAUACACGAUUCUCACGGAUAAGACUGGGACUUUGAGAGUACGUAUAAUGUGCAGUAUAAUGUACGAGAGGCUGUCAAACUGUCAGAGUACGUAUGGUGAAGCGACACAGAAGCACAUAAAUGAUUACGCUGAUGCUGGCCUGAGGACACUAGUUCUUGCAUACCGUCAACUUGAGGAGAUCGAAUACACUAAAUUCGAAAGGAACUUCACAGCAGCUAAGAAUUCUGUCAGCGCUGAUCGGGAUGAGCUGAUUGACAAAGCGACAGAUUUGAUAGAGAUGGAUUUGAUUCUGUUUGGAGCCGCCGCCGUUGAGGACAAGCUGCAAAAGGGGCGAUAUUUGGCCAAUUUUAUGAACUUAAAAUCAGAUGCUCUUUUUCACAGAUAUGCCUGCAGUCUACUCAGACAAGGGAUGAAACAAAUAACCAUCACACUAGAUACACCAGAUAUCAUUGCCUUGGAGAAAGGUGGUGACAAAGGAGCCAUUAAUAAGGUAGGUAAAGUAUUGCAGAUUAUAGUUACCGAGUCCUCUGUCUAG
Molecule: ribosomal RNA, 558 nt
Filed under: Triticum aestivum (bread wheat)
Lineage: Eukaryota; Viridiplantae; Streptophyta; Magnoliopsida; Poales; Poaceae
Description: partial small subunit ribosomal RNA
Source: RNAcentral